UUAGAGUUUGAUCCUGGCUCAGGAUGAACUCUAGCGGCAGGCUUAACACAUGCAAGUCGAGGGGCAGCAGGGAGUAGCAAUACUCUGCUGGCGACCGGCGCACGGGUGCGUAACGCGUAUGCAACCUACCUUAAACAGGGGAAUAACUCAGGGAAACUUGAACUAAUGCCCCAUAUUCUUGCGGGAUCGCAUGGUCCUGCAAGGAAAGCCUUGGUGGUUUUAGAUGGGCAUGCGUGACAUUAGGUAGUUGGCGGGGCAACGGCCCACCAAGCCGACGAUGUCUAGGGGAGCUGAGAGGCUUAUCCCCCACACUGGUACUGAUACACGGACCAGACUCCUACGGGAGGCAGCAGUGAGGAAUAUUGGUCAAUGGACGGAAGUCUGAACCAGCCAUGCCGCGUGAAGGAAGAAUGCCCUAUGGGUUGUAAACUUCUUUUGUUCGAGAGUAAUAAGCGGGAUGCGUCCCGUGAUGAGAGUAUCGGACGAAUAAGCAUCGGCUAACUCCGUGCCAGCAGCCGCGGUAAUACGGAGGAUGCAAGCGUUAUCCGGAUUUAUUGGGUUUAAAGGGUGCGUAGGCGGACGACUAAGUCAGCGGUGAAAUAUCCCGGCUCAACCGGGAGGCUGCCGUUGAUACUGGUCGCCUUGAGUACGAACGGCGCCGGCGGAAUAUGUAAUUGUACCGGUGAAAUGCAUAGAUAUUACAUAGAACACCGAUCGCGAAGGCAGCUGGCGAGGACGUCACUGACGCUGAGGCACGAAGGCGUGGGGAUCAAACAGGAUUAGAUACCCUGGUAGUCCACGCAGUAAACGAUGAUAACUUGUUGUCGGCGAUAGACAGUCGGUGACAAAGCGAAAGCGAUAAGUUAUCCACCUGGGGAGUACGAUCGCAAGGUUGAAACUCAAAGGAAUUGACGGGGGCCCGCACAAGCGGAGGAGCAUGUGGUUUAAUUCGAUGAUACGCGAGGAACCUUACCUAGACUCAAAUGUUGAGCGACCGACCCAGAAAUGGGUCUUUCCUUCGGGACGCUUAGCAAGGUGCUGCAUGGUUGUCGUCAGCUCGUGCCGUGAGGUGUCAGGUUAAGUCCUAUAACGAGCGCAACCCCUACGUCCAGUUGCCAGCGGGUAGAGCCGGGGACUCUGGACGGACUGCCGGCGCAAGCCGAGAGGAAGGUGGGGAUGACGUCAAAUCAUCAUGCCCCUUAUGAUUUGGGCUACACACGUGCUACAAUGGCGUAAACAAAGGGAAGCAACCCUGUGAAGGCAAGCAAAUCCCAAAAAUAACGUCUCAGUUCGGAUUGUAGUCUGCAACUCGACUACAUGAAGCUGGAAUCGCUAGUAAUCGCGAAUCAGAAUGUCGCGGUGAAUACGUUCCCGGGUCUUGCACACACCGCCCGUCAAG
RNAcentral lists this ribosomal RNA (1399 nucleotides) under uncultured bacterium. Its description in RNAcentral is "bacterial SSU rRNA". It matches the Rfam family "Bacterial small subunit ribosomal RNA". The record is from RNAcentral.